GGGCCUGCACAAGCGGUGGAGUAUGUGGUUUAAUUCGAUGCAACGCGAAGAACCUUACCAGGCCUUGACAUCCCCGGAACUUUCUAGAGAUAGAUUGGUGCCUUCGGGAACCGAGUGACAGGUGCUGCAUGGCUGUCGUCAGCUCGUGUCGUGAGAUGUUGGGUUAAGUCCCGUAACGAGCGCAACCCUUAUCCUUAAUUGCCAGCGGUUAGGCCGGGAACUCUAAGGAGACUGCCGGGGUCAACUCGGAGGAAGGUGGGGAUGACGUCAAAUCAUCAUGCCCCUUAUGUCUUGGGCUUCACGCAUGCUACAAUGGCCGGUACAGAGGGCUGCAAUACCGCAAGGUGGAGCGAAUCCCAAAAAGCCGGUCUCAGUUCGGAUUGAGGUCUGCAACUCGACCUCAUG
This 405-nucleotide ribosomal RNA is filed under the name uncultured bacterium. Its description in RNAcentral is "bacterial SSU rRNA". It matches the Rfam family "Bacterial small subunit ribosomal RNA", at positions 917 to 1322 of the family's 1533-position model. The record is from RNAcentral.